GAUGAACGCUGGCGGCGUGCCUAAUACAUGCAAGUCGAGCGAACGGACGAGAAGCUUGCUUCUCUAAUGUUAGCGGCGGACGGGUGAGUAACACGUGGAUAACCUACCUAUAAGACUGGGAUAACUUCGGGAAACCGUAGCUAAUACCGUAUAAUAUUUUGAACCGCAUGGUUCAAAAGUGAAAGACGGUCUUGCUGUCACUUAUAGAUGGAUCCGCGCUGCAUUAGCUAGUUGGUAAGGUAACGGGUUACCAAGGCAACUAUGCAUAUCCGAACUGAGAGGCUGAUAGGCCACACUGGAACUGAGACAGGGUCCAGACUCCUACGGGAGGCAGCAGUAGGGAAUCUUACGCAAUGGGCGAAAGCCUGACGGAGCGACGCCGCGCGAGUGAUGAAGGUCUUCGGAUCGUAAAACUCUGUUAUUAGGGAAGAACAUAUGUGGAAGUAACUGUGCACAUCUUGACGGUACCUAAUCAGAAAGCCACGGCUAACUACGUG
Molecule: ribosomal RNA, 497 nt
Filed under: uncultured bacterium
Lineage: Bacteria
Description: partial 16S ribosomal RNA
Rfam family: Bacterial small subunit ribosomal RNA
Source: RNAcentral